This 495-nucleotide ribosomal RNA is filed under the name uncultured bacterium. RNAcentral's name for it is "partial 16S ribosomal RNA". It matches the Rfam family "Bacterial small subunit ribosomal RNA", at positions 28 to 507 of the family's 1533-position model. The record is from RNAcentral.
GACGAACGCUGGCGGCGUGCCUAAUACAUGCCAGUAGAACGCUGAAGGAGGAGCUUGCUUCUCUGGAUGAGUUGCGAACGGGUGAGUAACGCGUAGGUAACCUGCCUGGUAGCGGGGGAUAACUAUUGGAAACGAUAGCUAAUACCGCAUAAUAGUAGAUGUUGCAUGACAUUUGCCUAAAAGGUGCAAUUGCAUCACUACCAGAUGGACCUGCGUUGUAUUAGCUAGUUGGUGGGGUAACGGCUCACCAAGGCGACGAUACAUAGCCGACCUGAGAGGGUGAUCGGCCACACUGGGACUGAGACACGGCCCAGACUCCUACGGGAGGCAGCAGUAGGGAAUCUUCGGCAAUGGACGGAAGUCUGACCGAGCAACGCCGCGUGAGUGAAGAAGGUUCUCGGAUCGUAAAGCUCUGUUGUAAGAGAAGAACGAGUGUGAGAGUGGAAAGUUCACACUGUGACGGUAUCUUACCAGAAAGGGACGGCUAACUACGUG